GAGUUUGAUCCUGGCUCAGAAUCAACGCUGGCGGCGUGCCUAACACAUGCAAGUCGAACGCGAAAGUGGAGCAAUCCAUGAGUAGAGUGGCAAACGGGUGAGUAACACGUGGGUGACCUGCCUUCGAGUGGGGGAUAACGUUCCGAAAGGGACGCUAAUACCGCAUAACAUCCUGUCUUUUAACAGAUGGACAUCAAAGCCUGGACCGCAAGGCCAGGCGCUUGAAGAGGGGCCCGCGCCUGAUUAGCUAGUUGUGGGUAAUGGCUCACCAAGGCAACGAUCAGUAUCCGGCCUGAGAGGGCGGACGGACACACUGGGACUGAGACACGGCCCAGACUCCUACGGGAGGCAGCAGUGGGGAAUUGUUCGCAAUGGGCGCAAGCCUGACGACGCAACGCCGCGUGGAGGAUGAAGAUCCUCGGGUCGUAAACUCCUUUCGAUCCGAGACGAAUGGCUUCCGGGUGAAC
This 467-nucleotide ribosomal RNA is filed under the name uncultured Acidobacteriota bacterium. RNAcentral's name for it is "bacterial SSU rRNA". It matches the Rfam family "Bacterial small subunit ribosomal RNA", at positions 9 to 465 of the family's 1533-position model. The record is from RNAcentral. Lineage: Bacteria; Pseudomonadati; Acidobacteriota.